CUAGGAAGCUUCGCCAGGCGCUCCCGGGCACUCUUGGCUUCUCCGCCUUUAGGCGAGGCCUGGUUGACCGACUCUGGCGAGUCGCUGCCCUCUCGGAGCGCCGUAGCUCUGAGAUGCAGUUCACACCGCGGCCCUUCCUGGGGCCCACUCCAAGGCUACUGGAUCAGGACCCCCAGUCUGGGGCCGGGCAUUUUCAAAUUAAUCAACAGGCUCUACGUGGUGGCUCAUGCCUGUAAUCCCAGCGCUUUCGGAGGCCGAGGCAGGAGGAUCGCUUGAGGCCAGGAGUUUGAGACCAGCCUGGGCAACAUAGCAAGACCCGGCAUGCCCAAGAGCUUGCUAAAGUUUGAGAACCGUGGUUCUACGGAGUUUCUCAGAGAGCCCCUAGUGGAAGUGGGCCGUCAUUGACCAGAGCAGCAACCAGCUCAAUCACCCACCCUUUACUUGUUUUUCUUUGUCUCACACUUUCCACUUCCUCACUCGUGCACUCCGAGAUCAGCUCCAUAUUCAAUUACCUGCACCCAAAUCCUCGUCUCAAGUUUCCUGGAUUGGCAUCUGCAGGUGAGACUGUAGUUCUCAGCUUUGACCGUGACCUCACCUCGGGACCACCUUCUGGUGUUUGCCUGCUCACCCUGUAGCACUCUCCAUCCACCGUGCUCCCCUUCUGGGCCUGAGGACACUGCUGACCUGCAUCUGACAGGGAACACGGGCCUCUCUAAGAAGAAAAGAGAUUCGGAGAAACAAGAACACCACGUAACCGCGGAGGCAGAGAUUGAAGUGCUGGAGGCACAGGUCAAGGAAUGCCAAUGAUUGCUGGCAACCACCACAAACUAGGAGAGAUGAAUGGAUUCUCAGAGCCUUUAGAACUAUGAGAGAAUAAAUGUUGUUUUAAGCCAUGAAACUUAUGGUAAUUUGUUAUGGAAGCCCUGAAAAAUUAAGAUAGCAUAAAAAUCAAUUGCUGUAUGUGAUCAAACACUGAAUGGGCUAGGGUGAGCCAGUG
Molecule: long non-coding RNA, 997 nt
Organism: Symphalangus syndactylus (siamang)
Lineage: Eukaryota; Metazoa; Chordata; Mammalia; Primates; Hylobatidae
Source: RefSeq, a predicted model, not a curated record